CAGUCGCCGCGGUAAAACGAAGGGGGCUAGCGUUGCUCGGAAUUACUGGGCGUAAAGGGAGCGUAGGCGGACAUUUAAGUCAGGGGUGAAAUCCCAGAGCUCAACUCUGGAACUGCCUUUGAUACUGGGUGUCUUGAGUGUGAUAGAGGUAUGUGGAACUCCGAGUGUAGAGGUGAAAUUCGUAGAUAUUCGGAAGAACACCAGUGGCGAAGGCGACAUACUGGAUCAUUACUGACGCUGAGGCUCGAAAGCGUGGGGAGCAAACAGGAUUAGAUACCCCCGUAGUCCCUGUCUCUUAUAC
RNAcentral lists this ribosomal RNA (301 nucleotides) under uncultured bacterium. RNAcentral's name for it is "partial 16S ribosomal RNA". It matches the Rfam family "Bacterial small subunit ribosomal RNA", at positions 509 to 807 of the family's 1533-position model. The record is from RNAcentral.